This 253-nucleotide ribosomal RNA is filed under the name uncultured bacterium. RNAcentral describes it as "partial 16S ribosomal RNA". It matches the Rfam family "Bacterial small subunit ribosomal RNA", at positions 524 to 776 of the family's 1533-position model. The record is from RNAcentral.
UACGUAGGGUGCAAGCGUUGUCCGGAAUUAUUGGGCGUAAAGAGCUCGUAGGCGGUCUGUCACGUCGGCUGUGAAAACCCGAGGCUCAACCUCGGGCCUGCAGUCGAUACGGGCAAACUAGAGUGUUGCAGGGGAGACUGGAAUUCCUGGUGUAGCGGUGAAAUGCGCAGAUAUCAGGAGGAACACCGGUGGCGAAGGCGGGUCUCUGGGCCGAUAUUGACGCUGAGGAGCGAAAGCGUGGGGAGCGAACAGG